RNAcentral lists this ribosomal RNA (245 nucleotides) under uncultured bacterium. RNAcentral describes it as "partial 16S ribosomal RNA". It matches the Rfam family "Bacterial small subunit ribosomal RNA", at positions 524 to 769 of the family's 1533-position model. The record is from RNAcentral.
UACGUAGGUGGCGAGCGUUGUCCGGAAUUAUUGGGCGUAAAGCGCGCGCAGGCGGGAUAUCAAGUCCAUCUUAAAAGUGCGGGGCUCAACCCCGUGAGGGGAUGGAAACGGGUAUUCUUGAGUGCAGGAGAGGACAGUGGAAUUCCCAGUGUAGCGGUGAAAUGCGUAGAUAUUGGGAGGAACACCAGUGGCGAAGGCGACUGUCUGGACUGUGUCUGACGCUGAGGCGCGAAAGCCAGGGGAGU